RNAcentral lists this ribosomal RNA (206 nucleotides) under uncultured bacterium. RNAcentral's name for it is "partial 16S ribosomal RNA". It matches the Rfam family "Bacterial small subunit ribosomal RNA", at positions 568 to 774 of the family's 1533-position model. The record is from RNAcentral.
CACGUAGGCGGACUGGUCAGUUGGGGUGAAAUCCCAGGGCUCAACCCUGGAACUGCCUUCAAUACUGCCAGUCUUGAGUCCGAGAGAGGUGAGUGGAAUUCCUAGUGUAGAGGUGAAAUUCGUAGAUAUUAGGAAGAACACCAGUGGCGAAGGCGGCUCACUGGCUCGGUACUGACGCUGAGGUGCGAAAGCGUGGGGAGCAAACA